GAUGAACGCUGGCGGCGCGCCUAACACAUGCAAGUCGAACGAUUAAAGCACCUUCGGGUGUGUAUAAAGUGGCGAACGGCUGAGUAACACGUGGGCAACCUGCCCCUUUCAUUGGGAUAGCCACGGGAAACCGUGGACAAUACCGAAUACUUCGAGACUUCCGCAUGGAAGACUCGAGAAAGCUCCGGCGGAGAGGGAUGGGCCCGCGGCCUGUUAGCUUGUUGGUGGGGUAACGGCCUACCAAGGCAAUGAUGGGUAGCUGGGUUGAGAGACCGACCAGCCAGAUUGGGACUGAGACACGGCCCAGACUCCUACGGGAGGCAGCAGUGGGGAAUCUUGCACAAUGGGCGAAAGCCUGAUGCAGCGACGCCGCGUGCGGGAUGAAGGCCUUCGGGUUGUAAACCGCUUUCAGCAGGGACGAGGCGAAAGUGACGGUACCUGCAGAAGAAGCCCCGGCUAACUACGUG
Molecule: ribosomal RNA, 467 nt
Filed under: uncultured bacterium
Lineage: Bacteria
Description: partial 16S ribosomal RNA
Rfam family: Bacterial small subunit ribosomal RNA
Source: RNAcentral